Clupea harengus (Atlantic herring) is the source of this 1008-nucleotide long non-coding RNA. NCBI's taxonomy places the organism in Eukaryota, Metazoa, Chordata, Actinopteri, Clupeiformes, Clupeidae. The record is from Ensembl.
CCCCUAAAAGUGGGAACCUAGAUUCGUGUGGCUCUUCGAAAUGGUGUUGGGUUUUGUUGUGGCUCUUUUAGCUGGACUGGUUAGCCACCCCUGGUGUAGGCCUACCUUAUCAUCAUGAGUGUAGCUAUGUUGUCAGUAUUUGUAAUAAAAUGUGUUGGCCGCAAGUUAACUCCACUUCACGUUAAUGAUAGCUUUUGUAUGAGCAGACCGGGCUCAGCUUGCCUCACGUGUACAAUACAAUAACAUAUGCCGUUUAAUCAUAUUUGGUAGAAUGAAGGACAAAUUAGUUGUGAAUACUAUCACCGAGUUUGAAAGGUAGGCUAUUGGUCAGGUAAUAGCCGAGUGACAGCUGAUUUUCUUUCUGAUUUGACAGUAGCCUACAUCUGUGUGUUUUAAGCAAAUAAAAUGUGAAAUAGGCUAUUUACCAACGGGCACCUGCUAUCUUGGAUUAUACAGUAAAUAAGUUGCGAAAUGAAACAAAAACACAUCACAGUUAAAGUUGUAUUAGUAUUGAUUGAUUCACAUCGAUAUGAAUGGAUGACAUGACUAACAAGUGGCGAAAAAUGAAUAUGAAAGUACCAGUACCAGUGGCGAAAAAAGACAGAUCACAGAAGUUCGUUUAUUGAUACAUAUUUUAAUGACGGCCACAGCGCUUUAAAACGCCGUGUUUAUAAGUUACAUUAUUCAAAGAUGAAAAAUAGAAGGCGAGAGAUUUGCCAGGUGUACCUUCUCAUCAUGAGUGAAUGUCAGUGCUUGUAAUACAAUGGUGUUGGCCGCGAGUUAACUCCACUUCACGUUAAUGUUAACUUUUGUAUAUGAGCAGACCAGGCUCCAUUCUAUCGCUUGCCUCAGGGGUGAAAUGUAUUGAUUCACAUCAAUAUGAAUGGAUGACAUGACUAACAAGUGGCGAAAAAUGAAUAUGAAAGUAUUUGUUCGGUGAAUUAGCGCGUUCUUUCCAAACAAUCGCAGUCAACGGUUUUUAAAUGUCAACACAGUAUAGCCUAUCAC